AUGGGUCGCUGUCGUUGCUCUCGCUUCCUCCUCUACGCAGAAGAAAGGAGAAAUGAAAAUAGCAGCUGCUGAGUGACUGUUCAGAUUUGAUAUGGAAUGAUUACAUGACCCCAUCUGGCACAUGUGACAACAGAGAAGAAUUAAGACGACCAACAACAAUGUGCUUUGCUUUUUGUGCAUAACUGAAAUAAAACAGUAAUGCAUUUGUUUAUUUAAAUCACUGGACACAAAUAAUGACACAGAAACCAAAAUGGAAAAAAAACCCAGUGACAUUUCUUCCCUUUCCACUUUGUCACAAAACAAUAUUUAC
This is a long non-coding RNA of Thunnus maccoyii (southern bluefin tuna), 310 nucleotides long. RefSeq lists it as uncharacterized. NCBI's taxonomy places the organism in Eukaryota, Metazoa, Chordata, Actinopteri, Scombriformes, Scombridae. The record is from RefSeq and is a predicted model, not a curated record. The transcript has 2 exons.